This 40552-nucleotide long non-coding RNA is filed under the name Manihot esculenta (cassava). RNAcentral describes it as "long non-coding RNA (MESC_LNC010674)". The record is from RNAcentral. Lineage: Eukaryota; Viridiplantae; Streptophyta; Magnoliopsida; Malpighiales; Euphorbiaceae.
CCCACUCACCUCUUCAGUGGGAGAAUAAUGAGUAAGAAGAGGUAACUCUAAAUUCUGUGAUUUUGAAUGAUAUGGUUCAACGAGAGAGCUCUAGGUGAUAGGGGGAGAGAAUUGGACGUUUAAAAAAGUCAGAUUUGAGGAGGUAUUCAAGGAGAGACAAGGUAGAAGCCAUUAUGCAGUCUACUCAGAGUCAAAAAACUUUUUCUGGUGAGUUAUCCAUAACUCUUAAAUGCUCUAAUGAUGAAUAAACCCAUUGCACAAAAAAAAGGUGUCAGAUCUUGUACUAAACACCUUAUUUCUAACUUUGUUUCUUAUGAAUCAUUAGUCUAUUUCCUCUGUGUCUAUUCCACAGGAUUGGAAGGAAGCUCUUGCAGAUCCUAAAUGGAAGGGAGCAAUGAUUGAAAGGACGAAAGCACUGGCAAAAAAUGAGAUCUGGGAGCUUGUCACUCUCCCGCCUGGGAAGAACUUGUUGGCUGUAAGUGAGUAUUCACAAUAAAACACAAAACUGAUGCCACAAUUGAACGGUUUAAGGUCAGAUUGGUUACUAAAGAAUUCACCUAAAUUUAUGGAGUGGAUUAUCAAGAAAUAUUUGCUCUAGUUGUAAAAAUGAGCUCAGUUAGAGUCCUAUUAUCUUAUGCAACCAACUUGGACUGGGACCUACAACAGUUUGAUGUGAAGAAUACUUUCCUCCAUGAAGAUUUAGAGGAAGAAGUGUUCAUGGAGAUCUCUCUUAGGUUCGCUGAUGAGAAGACACAAGGAAAGAUGUACAAAUUAAAAAAGGCUUUGUAUGGAAUCUCCCAGAGCUUGGUUUGAUAGGUUUAGCAAAACCAUGAUGUCCUUUGGUUAUCAACAGAGUAAUGCUGAUCACACUCUGUUUGUUAAAUAUCACAAGGUAAGAUCACCCUUCUUAUUGUGUAUAUUGAUGAUACAGUGGUGACAGGUGAUAACAAAGAGGAAAUGACUCAAUUAAAAAGGUUGUUGGUUCAAGAAUUUGAAAUCAAAGAUCUAGGAAAGCUUCAAUAUUUCCUAGGUAUUGAGGUGGCUAGAUCAAAAAAGGAAUCUUUAUCUACCAAAAAAAGUACAUUCUGAACCUUUUAGAAGAAAUUGAUAUGUUGGAGUGUAAAUUGAUAGGGAGGUUGAUUUAUCUCUCACACACUCAACUGAAUAUAAUCUAUGCUGUUAGCUUAGUCAACCAAUUCAUGCAUGACCCUCGCGAGACUCAUAUGCAGGUUGUCCUUCACAUCUUGAGAUACCUUAAGUUUGCGCUAAGGAAAGGGCUUUUUUACUCCAAUCAUAGUCACUUUCGAGUUGAAGCUUUUACAUAUGCAGAUUGGGCAAAAUCUCUCAAUGACAGGAGAUCCACCUCUAAUUACUGCACAGUUGUGGGAGGGAAUCUUGUCAUCUAGAAAAGCAAAAAAUAAAGUAUUGUUGCUCAGUUAAGUGCUGAAGUAGAAUAUAGAGUAAUGGCCCAAGGUGUGUGUGAGCUUUUGUAGUUGUAAAAGUUAUUGAAGGAGUUGAGGUUGCCUGAGAGAGACAAGAUAAUUUUGUAUUGCGACAACAAAGCCGCCAUUAGUAUAGCAUAAAAUUCAGUUCAGUGUGACCAAAAGAAACAUAUUAAGAUUGAUCAACACUUCAUUAAAGAAAAAUUAACAGACAGGGUUUUGAGUUUAGUUCAUCUGACUUAUACUGGACAACUUGUGGAUGUGUUCACUAAAGAGCUCAACAAUAGAAUCUAGCAUAAUCUGAUUUGCAAGUUGGGCAUAUGCGAUAUAUAUGUACCAACUUGAGGGGAGUGUUGAUUUAUUUGAUAUGAUUUGAUUUGAUUAUGCAUUCUAAGCAUAAAUUAGAAUCUUUAAUUAUCUCUGUAAUUAUUUUUUGAUUAUUUACUCUUUGUUUAGUUGUAAUUUUUUGUGUAUAAAUAAUCAUGUAAAUCACUUAUAAAGAUUAAGAGUGAAAUACAGGAAUACUCUAAAAUUCUUGGAUAUAUAUAAACAUGGCAAUCACCUCUAAUGGGGUUGUUUUAAUUCUUGGGAACAUUUGCCUUUAUGAAAUCGAAUGACAGGGAUUCGCAUGUUCGGGAUCUUAUUCUUUGCUUUUCCAAAUCUUAUUUUGAUCUACCAUCAAAAGUGAAAAAAAAUGAAAUUGGCAAAGUGGGAAACUGUUAUCACAAAAGUCCUCAUAACUGAUGUAAUGAAACGUCCUUGAGAACUAUAAUGAAAAGCUAGACUUGUUUAAGAUGAAAAAAUAAAGUGGACAAUUUCAUUUUAAUUUUCUAAUGGUCUUCCGAACUGCCAAAAAAACUUUGCAGUUGUGCAUUAGCAAGUAGGAAUCAUAUCAUUCAAGACAAAAGAUUUUGCAUUAAUUUUCGUGCUAUAUCAUUUAAGAAGGGAGGAUUCACUUUUUUAUAAGACGAGGUUCCUCUAGAUGAGAGAUGAAUGAAUAAAGGAAUUGUAAAUAUGAAAGCAAAUUCUACCUGGCAAAGCUGAAAAGUUACAUUUGGUUUAUUGGAUUGGACAGGAAAGCCCCGUGUUUUUUCUCCUGUUCAGUCCUUCAGUCCCCUUCUCUGUUUUCUUUUCCCUUACUAGACAAUUUAUCCAGUCCAAUGGCUGAGAUUGUUAGCAUUCCUCGUCAACAUACCCCUUUCUUCUUUUAAAUAAAAAUGAAGUUUCUUCAAUAUUUGUGUGCUAUUGUUAAAUUUGAUUCCUGUAUAUCGAUGAUUGAAGACUGUCUGGAAUGUCAGCAUUACGUGGUUGCUAAUAGUAAUUUGCUGCUUGAAUUAUUUCAUAAAAGAUUGUAGAAUUUCUUCAUAUUGUUGGUAUUUUGGUUACCUAGCUUUGUAUUGAAUGCCCUGUGCUCUAUAUGAGUUAUCCUAAAAUUGAAACUGGUGGUGUUUGUUGAGUAAACAAGAGACAGUAACGUUUGUAUUCUCUCUUCCUUUUCUUUUUUUUUUUCAUCUUGCAGUUACUGAACUUCCAGAUACUGUAUUCCUUCUAGAGGAUUGCCCCCAUGAUUGGUUGUUUCCCCAGUGUGCUGCUGUGGUGAGUUAUUAUUAUUAGAGAAAUUUACUAUUUAGUCCCUAUAUUAUAUGGAAACUCAUUAGUUGGUCUAUCAGUUUUGUAAAAUACAUUAGAUUGUCCCUGAGAUUUUAAAAGUUUGCUAAUUAAUCAUUCUGUUAGUUUUAGCCGUUAAAUAUUUUACUAUUUAGGCUCUAUAAUUUAGAAAAACUAAUUAAUUGGUCGCUCAUGUUUGUAAAAAAAUCUACUAAUUAAUCUCUCCAUAUUAAAGGUAUUUUAGAUUUUUUUUAUAAUAUUUAAUGACUAAAAUUAACGGAGGGACUAAUUAGUAGAUUUUUUAAAGUUUCAAGAAUAUUUUAAUAUAUUUUUCAAAAUUGAGAUACUAAAUAAUGAGUUUUUCAAUAAUACAGGAAUUAAAUAGUAAUUUUUUUAUUAUUAUUAAUUUUUGUUGUAUUUUUUCUUAGAAAAACUUACUAUUUUGUCCCUAUGGUAUAGAAAAAUUUAUUAGUUAGUAUUUCGAUUUUAAAAAAUAUAUUAAAAUAUUCUAAAAUUUUUAAACAUAUACUACUUAGUCUUCCAUUAGUUUUAGCCUUUAAAUAUUUUAUUAUUUAUUCCAAUGGAAAAUUUCUUAGUUUGUCACUCAGUUUUGUAAAAUUAAAUUCAUACUAAUAAUCCUUUCAUAUUGAGAUCAUUUUGAACUUUUUAGAAUACUUAAUGGCUAAAAUUAACGGAAAGACUAAUUUGUACAUAUUUUAAUACCUUAAGGAUGUUUUAAUGUAUUUUUUAAAAUUAAGAGACUAAUUAAUGUAUUUUCCAAUACCAUGAGGAUAGCAAUAUUCCCUCUUUCUUAUUAUGCUUUUAAUAACUAAUACAUUUCCUUGCAAUUAAUAUAACUUUGUGCAGUUGCCAGCAUGUGCCUGCAAUUUUUUUUUUUUUACCUUUCUAGUAUAAUUCCUAGAUAGUUUUCAUUUUAUCAUAUAUGAAACUGAUAUUUUCUGCUUCUACUGAUGUAUUAGAACAAUAUAAAAGACUUGCUAAUGCAUGCUUCUAAUAGAAUGAUAUGUGGUUAAUCUAACACUAACCUUUUAUUUGCCAUGAUUCAUUUUGCAAGAAAAGAAUUCAAAUGAAUUCUUGCAAAAUCAUACAAGAUUUCAACUUCUCUUAAAAUGAAAAUUUUUUAAGUUAAAAAGAAUUGAAUUCUUUUAUUCCAAAGAAGAGAAUUGUUAGAAAAGAAAUCAAUUGGAUUGAAUUCUUACGAAAUUUUUGAUUUCAAAGAAGAGAAUUAUUAGAAAAGAAAUCAAUUGGAUUGAAUUCUUACGAAAUUUUUGAUUCCAAGGGUAAAUGUGCAGGUUCAUCACGGUGGUGCUGGAACCACAGCCGCAGGACUAAAAGCUGGGGUAAUGCUUAUUUAAUUAGUUUCCAUUUUAUGUUGCUGACUGCAUGAGUGCGUGUUUUGAUCAAAUAAUUUAACUAUAUCAGAGUGAGGUGUUAACUUGAGCAUGUACAGCUACAAACAGUUUCUUUGAUUCUCUCUCUUUCUCUCCAAUCAUUUCACCUACCAUAUAUUUUAUGCCCCCUUGUUCUUUAAUAAUAUUUCCUCUCUUCUAAAAGGAAAAAUUCUACUUCAGGAUUCUAAUGAAUAUAUGUAUUUGUUAGAUAAUAGGUAAUUGGAAAUGACAAUAGGAUAUGAUUGGUAACCUAUUUUAAACUAUGUAAUUUAAUAUUAACUAUAAUUGAAUGCUUUUAGUUUUUUAUUUUUCCUAUUGAGAAACUUCUUAAUUACAGUGCCCGACUACCAUAGUGCCAUUCUUUGGAGACCAGUUUUUCUGGGGUGAUCAAAUACAUAAACGAGGGCUGGGACCUGCACCGACGCCAAUAGCUAAGCUCAGCGUUGAGAGCCUUUCAAAUGCAAUAAGGUUCAUGCUGCAGCCAGAGGUAAUUCUGAUGUGUAUAUGUGCUCCCAAUUCAUGCAAGAGUUGAUUCCAGAGGAUGACAAUACAAUAGAUUACUCUAGCCUUUAUAUUUAAACUUCAUUUUAUAUGAUUUAUCCCAUUUAUAGUUCCAUUAGUCUUUGGAAGAUUAGAUUUCAUUGAUUGUGCAGCAAAUAUGAUGCUACUCCAUGAUGCUUAUGUUGCUUUUGAUUCAUACUCACUUUGUAGUUCAUCUCAUUAUUUUUGUCCAGUUUACUUUUUCACACAUAUUAAUAAAAAUAAUUUAUUUAUUAACUUUCUAAAUAUAUCCAUCUUAAAAAUAUUAAAUUUUAUUAAAUAAUAAAAAAUAUUUGAGAGGUUGUAUUGAAAAUAAAAUUAAAUUAAAUACGGUUAUAAUAGUCAAUUUAUAUCUUAAUCAUAUUCGCACAAUAGAAAAAAAAGGAAAGAUGUAUAAAAAUUACGGAAUAGAUGGAAUAUAUUUUUCAAUGAAAUUAGACUUCCUCCCCAUCUUAUGUGGAGUUUGUCAUAGCCAUAAACAAAUACAAGAACUUUCAUGUCCUUGCAGGCCUAGUUGUUACGAUCAAUCUUCCUUAUUUGAUUUAGCCCAUCAACUCUAUUCCUUCGCAUAUUGACCAUCACGUCUGCCAUCACCCAUUUGCAUUUGCAGCUUUCUUUAAAUGCUUCAGUCUUCCUUCACUUCUAUGAAAAUCCAAUUGUCAGUUACUAAAUGGGUACUUUCAAUUUUCUUAGGUGAAAUCUCAGGCAAUGGAACUAGCAAAGUUGAUAGAGAAAGAAGAUGGUGUUGGUGCUGCAGUUGAUGCAUUUCAUCGGCAUUUGCCUCGUGAACUUCCUCUGCCUACUGCGGCUUCUUUAGAUGAAGACAAACAUCCAGACCAUCUACAAUGGUUCUUGAUUCAACUCCAAAAGUGGUUCUGCCUGCCUUGUGGAGUAUAGGAUUCUUUCCUAUUUUUCAUUUUUAUGUCACAGGUUAGUUUUAUCAAAUUUUCUUUUAAUCAAUUCAUUCAUUCCAUUGAUUGGAUCUACUGUGUGGUGGUGAGUUAUAUAUAGUUUUGAAGUCACAUCUGCAGGGUUAUUGUGCAAUAAUAAUUCAUUAAAUUUUGUUUUUUCAAAAUGAAUUAUACCAAAUUAUUUAAAAUUAAUAUUUAUAACUGAUUUUCGUCCAUCUACUCUUCACCCACAGUUUCUCCUCUUCUGCAGUACCAAAUACCCAUUACAGGCCUCAUCCCAUUACAUGUUAUAAAUGAAAAAAAAAAAAAAAAAAAAAACAUUGUUUCUCAUAAGAUGGUGAAUUUUUAUUGGGAUACAAGUAAUAAUUAAUUAAAAGGUGAAAAUAAAUGAAUAAUGAGAGUUUAUAUUAUAUUUGUUUGAUAAAAAAACCAAAGGGGAAGCUGGAGAAACUUAGAUCUUUGUUAUUUGUGCAGGUUUCAAGCAACAGACAACUAGAGAUUUGUGCUAAUGCUGUUGGCUUAUGCUGGUGGAUGCUUCCAUUGUGUUGUUGCAAACAAUAAAUAAAUAAAUAAAUAAAAACUAUAUACAGCAGCAAUCGUGGGUGGCUGUUUCUUUCUUUUUGCCAAAAAUAAAUAAAUAAAAUCGUGUGUUGUUCUGUUUGAGACAGAAAAAAUUGAUGUAAUAAACAAUUCAUUUUGUGUUGCUUUGAAUUUUGAUGGGCAUGUGGUGGAAAUGUAUGUGAUAUGCCAGACAAUGAAGGACUAUGAAAGAACAGGGAAAAAAUGAGAGAAAUUAAUUAAAAAUAUUAUUUUUAUUUAUUUUUUUUAAAGGUGUUAGAAAAUAAAAUUUAAUCUAACGAGUUGACAUGUUAACAAAAAAUAACAUCAUAAAAUUGAGGUAUCAUUUAUGUAAUUUACCUUCAAUAACAUAAAUCGAUAGAGAAAAGUAGGAAUUGGCUAAGAUGAGAGUGAAUUAAGAACAAGCAAGGUCUUCAAACUGAAUUAUACAAAUUCUAGUCUGAAUUUUUGAAAUAUUUUUAAAUCAAUUUAAAUUUUUUAGAUAGUAGAUUUUUGGGUUGACAUCAUAAGGUAAAUUUUAAUUGCAAAGUUUAUAAAUUGUGUGUAAUUAUUAUUAGACCGGAUGGAAAAAAUUAAAUGUUUAUGUGAAUUUAUGAUUAUAGCUAAAUUUUUAAAUAUUGUAAAAUGAAGUUUAAUAAUUCUCAAUUUAUUGCGAUUAUAGUAAAAAUAAAUUAAAUUAUUAAAUUUUAAAAUAAAUUAUAAUAUAGGUCUUAAACCUUGAAUAAAUUUACAACUUUAAUUUUUAUAUUUUCAACAUUAAAUAAUUUAAUUUCUCACUUUUGUUAUAUAUAUAUACAAAUUGGUAAUUUCAUCCAAAUUUCCAUCAAAUUACUACUAAUUUUAAUCGAAAUGAUCAAAUGAUAACUUCAAUCGGACAUAGGUAAAGCUUCUAAGAUUUUAUUUUAUUAAAAAAAGUCUUUUAUUUUAAAUUUGUAUUUAAAAAUAAAUAUAUUUUAUAUUUUAUUAUAUAUAAUAAAUAUUUUAUAAUACUAUAAUUAGAUAUAUUGUCUUUUGUUAAUAAUAUUAAUGUCAAUUUAAUUAAAUAUUUUAUUAUAUAAAAAUUUUAUUUUUAAACGUCAUAGUCUUAUUUGAUUUAGAAAUUUAAUUUAGUAAUUAAAGACAGGUAACUCUUUUGAUAAAUCCAGGUUGGAAUAUCUGAUUUCUCAAUCUACUACUUGAAAAAGGAAAAACAAAAAUAAAAAACAACUAUUACACAGCCAUUAUCAAGUCUGUGGUUCGCUUUUUGUAAAGCUUGAUAUUUUUCCACCUUGAUUCCAUGUAGUGGCUUGAACUAUCAGGCGCCGCAUACACCCCACACUUGAAAUAGUGCUCCGCCGGGCCGUCGUCGUAGACCACCACUUUUUGUUUACCAUUGACGUAAACUUUUAUUUCCCCUUUUCCGACGUUAUGAAUCACGUUAAGCCUUAACCACUUAUUAUAGAUGUCUGUGGCCACCGGGUCGGACCUGUAGGGCUUCAGUUGGCCAUUGUAAACUCUAAGUUGCAGAGAUGUGGAUUUGGUAACUGCCCCAAAUACCUGCAUAACUGUGACCCCUGAGGUUCCUUCUGGAACGUACAAUUGCCCUUCGAAUUGCCAAACUCCAGAUGAGUAGUCAUGUCCCUGCAAAUAAGUGUUAGUUAAUUAAUUAAUUAAAUUUAAAAUUAAAUUAAAUAAAUUAAAAAUUAAAAUUUUAAUAAAAGAAUUAAAUCAAACCGAUUAAUAAUUCUUUCAUACCUAUAAAUAUUCCUCAAUAAAUUAUACAUGAGUUUAUGAAAUAUGUCAAAAAUCACAGAAGGAUUAAUUAAUUAUGUUAAUAUAUUAUUUAUUAUGCACGCACAUAUUUAAUUUGAUAAUAAGUAUAUCUGAAUAAAUAUAUGAGAUUUUAGAUUCUACUCUUCUAAUUUUUAUUUUAAAAAAAUAUAUAUAUUAUCUACGGUUGAAUUUACCUAAUAUAAAAUAAUUUAAUCUCUUAAAUUUAGUUAAUUAACAAAAUAAAUAGUUGGCAUAAUUACAUUUUGUAUUUAAAUAAUUAUAUAUUUCACAAAGUAUUUAAUUAUAUUAUCAAAAUAGAUAAUAUUAGAUUAUAUAAAAAAAAUUUUAAAAUCUUUUUCACAAAAAUUAUUUGAAAAUAAUUUUAAUGGUUGUUAAUAAUAUAUCACCAUAAUUUUUUUUUUGAAAAAUUAUAAAUCAUAAUAUAUGAAUUUAAGAAUUUAAUAAAAUUUAUUUACUGUUUAAAAACUAUAUAUUAUAUUAUCACUACUAUAUUUUAGGUUUAAACAAUAAUAAAAUUAAAUUAGUAAUAUUUUUUAUACUUUGUAAAAAAUAAAUAAACUAUUGAAAUAUAAAAAAAUUUAAAUAUAAAGACAAUUUUGGUAACAAGAUAAAGUUUCUAAAAUUGAAAAAAAGAAUUAUGCUUGUAUUAACGUAAAUUAAAUAUAAAAAACAAUACACAAAAACAGAUAAACAUAUAUUUAGAAAUUAAUUUUUAAAAUUUAUCCAAGAUUCUUUCCAAGAUUAAAGUAUAAAUAUCACUCUAUGUUUGUUAAUUUUCGGUAUAAAAAUCAUUUGCAGAAAUUUCAAAACAACCAAAAAAAAAAAAGUUUAAAACAACUUUUGCGGUAGAACGAGAGAGAGAGAGGCUUAGCUUAGAGCUUUACCUUAAUGCGAACUUCAGUUCGGGGUCUGGUAGGGCUGCCAACUUUGAAGGGCUUGUCAUUCUCGUAAACCCAAAACCGUCGAAUCCCAUUUUUGUAAGAAUAACGUUCGUUCAAGGGCUUGUCAUAUGGUUUCUGUAUGAGGAAGUUGUCCUCUGUUAAUGCCACCUCACUGAAUCCAUCAGUUGGAUCUGCGCUGCUGUUCUUCAACAAGCUCACCAUAGCCAUAAUGAGGACAAAACUUGAGUAAGCUGAGAGUUUCAUUUUCAUUUCCCUUAUAACCUGUCCUUAAUUCUUCCCAUAUUUAUAUUCGCUUGCCACUUAUACUUUCCUUUUUUUUUUUCACAAGAUGAAGUAUUUAUUAAAAAAGUAUGUAUAAAAUUAUAAUUUUAUUAAAAAUUAAAUUAUUUAUUAAAAUAUAUUAUUAUAUAUAAUAAAAAAAUUAAAAUUUUCAUAAUAAUUUUAAACGGGUAUCAAAUUAUUAACUUAAUAAUAAUUUAUAUAUAGAGAUAUACAAAUAUUCAUUUUUUUCAUUAUCUACUUGUGAUAUGAAUUAUUUGUUCUAACAGAUUAAAUACCAAUUAUAAGCUACAAUUUGUAAAGAUUUUGGGAUAAUUGCAUAAAACAAAGAAAAUGCAGAACAUGUAAUAAGAUUUUAGGGAUAAUCGCAUAAAACAUAGAAAAUGCAGAAUAUCUUAUAAGAUUUUGGAGAUAAUUGCAUAAAAUAUAGAAAAUGCAAAACAUGUUAAACACUAUUAUAUGAAAAAGUUAUCAAAUUAUUGAUUCACAUAAUAUUUUUAAUCGAUAAAUUAAUUUAAUUUAUUGUGUUCAAUGAAAAAAUAACAAAAGAUAUAUUUAUUUUACGGAAUCAAAUUUAAGAGACUUAAGAAAUGACGAAAAAGAAAAUAAAAUGAAGUUGAAGAAUUCAAAUACCUGAUGAACAAAUUCAAACUUGAAAAAAAUCUUCUAAUUCUGAAAGAAUAAGAGUUAAGAUAUUAGUUGAAAAACAUCUUAAUAAUCUGAGAUUCAGAAAAUAAAGUUUUUAUAGGAUUUUGUGAAUUUAGAAAAAAUUUAGGUCUAGAGGAGGGCAAUCAUCAUUUUAUCGGUUUUCUUUUGUCUGCUAGUGACGUAUAACAAACUGUCUAUCAUUGGGCCACCUGUCCCUGCCAUGUUGAUUCGGACAUAUGAGAAUAUCAUAUUCCUGCUACAUGCGUAACGGCCUCUGAUUCUCCACGGGCACGCAUGCUGAUGGAUCCGCCAGACGGAUGGAUCGGUUUCCUUUUAGGUUCCGAGCCGGGCCGGAACCUAAAAUUAAAACUGAGUCAAAAAAUGAUCUGUCUGAUGAGCCGUACGGGCUGGGCGGGCCUGAUUGAGAAAUUUAGAUAGAAUUCGGUUUCAAGGCUGAGUGGGCCGGACUGGAUCCAUGCGGGAGACUUGAGGGUCUCUAAAUAAUGGGCUAUUGUCAUGGGUCUGACCCCAGACCGGAGUGAAAAAAUCCCUCGUAUUAUAAGAUUAUAAGAUCAAAAAAAAUUCUCCUUUUAAAUAAUGUAAGUGUUCAAUCAGUACAUGAAUAUAAGAGGGAAUUUAUUCUAUUAUUUUGAUAGGUGCAAUUGCUAUGGCUCGUUAAUUAUAAAUAGAAUUAAUAAUUGCACUCUGAAACCUCCGUUUGUAUAAAAUAAUUUGUACAAAAUGUUUUUCAAAAAAAUAUAUUUAUAUUUUUUUGUGUUCUAACAUUUAAAAAUUUUAGUUAAUAGAAAAAUAUUUUUUUGAUUAAAGAAAAAAAAAGUUAUUUAAAAAAAGUUAUUUCUACAUUCAAAUGAGAAUUCAUUUUUAGUGUUUUAAAAUUUUUAUUAAAAUUUCUAUAUAUAAAUUUUUUAAAUUAAAAUUAAAUAAUAAAAAAUUAUUUCUAUUUAAAAAAUAUUUUUUAAAUAUUAAAUUAUUUUCCACAAACAAACGUAAUAUAAAUUAUAAUUUAGUUUACCUAUAUAGGUACACCAUCUAAUUAUUUUACUAAUGACUCGUUAGUUUUAUGAAAUUUUUUUUUUUAGAAAAAUAUUUUUUUACAUCUUUUGAGGGUUUUAACCUUUAGAAAAUUUAAUUAAUAAAAAAUAUUUUAUUAAUUAAAAUAAAAAUUAAAUCAUUUUAAAGAAAAUUAAUUUUAAAAAGAAAAAAUAUAAAAAAUACUCCAUAAUGUAUUAAUUUUUUAUUUCCGUUCAAUUUAUAUUAAAAUAAUAAUUGUGAUAUUGCUCUGUUAGCAAAUAGCAGUAAUUUAAGUAAUUUAACAUAAAAAUUAUAUCACGAAUUACUAAUUUAAUACAAAUUGAAUUACAAAUCUAAAAUAAAAAUGAAUAAAAAUAUAUGCUAUUUUUUUAUAUUUUCUAAUUAAUAAAUAUAUUUUAUUUGUUAUAUCAGUAAUAUUUUAUGACAUCAUAAAAUUACCAUUAUUUAUUAAUUUAUAAUAGAUAUUAUUUUAACAUAAAUUUGAUCUACUGACUUUAAAAUAAAAAUGACUAAAAUUAUAUAAUAAUUUUUUAUAAUUUUUUUAAAAAAAUUAUUUUUCUGAAAAUAUUAUUAAAAUUUUUAUAUAUAAAUUUAUUAAUAUAUUUUAAUUUUUAAAUUAAAAUUAAAUAAUGAAAAUAAAUUAUUUUAUUAAAAAAUAUUUUACAAAUAUAAAUUAUUUUCUAUAAAUAAAUGAAGUCUUAAUGUUUUUUUUGGGAAAUAUUCUUCUCUUCUUUUUGGCCAUUUCUGGAUAAGGGAGACUUUCUCCCAACUGAAUUGUGGAUAUCAUCUCUACCUAUAGAUUGGCUGUGUAUUAGUUUUGUGUUGCAAGUCUUAUAGAUUCAAGGUAGAGAAUGAGUUUUUAGACCUACACGCGAUGGUUUACAAUGAUCUAUUAUUUUACGGUGUUGGAGCUCUAUGCAUAGGUAGAGAGUUGUGAUGCUGCAAUGGGAAGCUAUCUUUAGGCCAUUUUCAACGGUGCGCUAAUUUUCAUUUUGGCGUUGGAGGUGGCCCUUCAAAACUGUGCCAAAAUCUAACGGUUCUUUUUUAAAUUAUAAUAUAAUUCAAAAUUUUUAAUUUUUUUUACUCUUAUAAUUUAUUAUAUUUUUAAUUUAUUUUAUAUUUUUAUAAUUAUUGAAAUUUAAUUUAAAUUAAUAUAUUCACAAUUAUAAAUAAUAUUUAUAAUAAAUUAAUUUAUUUAUAAUAUAUUAUAUAAAAUAAUAUAAAUAAAUUAGUAAAUUGACACAUAUAUUAUAAUUGAACUUCGUAAUGAGCAUUUGUGGGAGUAAUAUACAAAUUCAAAUGAUCAUAUAAAUUAGCUUAUAAUUUUUUAUUGAUAAUUUAGUAUGUAUGAGUUUAUUUUAUUUUUAAUUUGCUAAUUAAUGUUUAAUUAAUGUAUGUUUAUAAUUAAUGUUUAAGUAAUAUUUUUUUAUAAUUAUUAUUUAAUUAAUACAUUUUUAUAAUUAAUAUGUUUUUUUGUUUAUUUAUAAAAUAAUUAAAUAUUUCAAUAUAAGAUGGAAAUAUAAAAUAUAUAAAUAUUUAGAGUGAAUAUAUAAAAUUAUAUGAAUUUUUUGAGUGAAAUAUAUAAAUAAAAUUAAAGUAAAAUAAAUAAUAUAAUAUUAAAGAUAAAAGAAUAUAAAUAAAAUAUUUUUUUGGUGUUAAAAUUUGUGCAGAAGGUCAGAGAUAAUAUUGCACCAUUUUAGUACAAAGUACCAAAAUAGUGCAAAAAAUGAUGCAUAGAGUUGGAAAUGGCCUUAUUGUCAUACCCGGCUGGAGUCCGGCAUCGGAAUUCUACUUUCCGGUGGAGUCCGGGAUGUCGGAAGUCUCUAGAAGGGUAGGAUUUAUGUUUUCCGACAGUGUUAUGAUGCAUUUGAAGGUUUUUAGUUGAAUUGAUUUGAGUUGGUUUGAGGAAAGGAAGAGAAAAGGCUAUGGAGACUUUUGCCAAGUUCGGCCGCCGAAGGUAAGUUCGGCCGCCGAAAGUGCCCAAUGUUCGGCUUCCGCAGUUCAGAUUCGGCCCCCGAAUGUUGCAUGGUUUUGCAUGCGAUUCGGCAGCCGAAGCUGAGUUGCUCAGCCAACUAAUGAGCAUUCCUGAGUCAGCAUUUUGGACAGGUGUUGGCUCCACACCCUGUCCAGAAGCUUGGCCACGUCUCCUAUAUUGUUCAGCUCCUGCAAGUGUGUUGUUUUGUUGGGUGUCAAAAGUUUUGAGAGUUUGAAGCAAAAAGCUUAGGUUUGAGAGUUUAUGCGUGUGAAGAGAGUUGAUUCAUUUUCUUUGUUCAGAUCGUUCAUCUUCUUGAAUACAGGAGGUAAGUGAAGAUCUUGAACAUGUUUUACUGUUUUACAGAAGCUUUAUGAAGGUUUGGGUAGAGAUGCAUGCUUAGGUGACAAAGGGUGUUUUCUUUUGAUGGUUUAGCUUGUAAGCAUGAUUAUGUGUUCUGUGUGAUGUGUUUUGUUGGGGUGUUUAGGUAGUUUUGGACCCCUUUGUACAUAUAUAUGAGUAUAUGUGUGUGGAGGAGUUGAGGUAUGCAUGUUUUGAGAGCUUGAAGGGAUGGAGGAGCUUGUUUGUCGUCGGGGCUGAGUUCUGGAUGAACUCAGGUUCGGUAGCCGAAGGUUCAUUCGGCCGCCGAACCUCUUGCAUGGUGGCUUAGGCUGCCACAGCUUGCCCCCGCGAGUUUUGAAUGUUCGGCUCUGUUUGGGGGAUUCGGCCGCCGAAGGUGCCGCCGAAGGUUAGAGACUUUCGUCUCUGGAGUGCCUUUUGGCCCCCGAAACUUGCCCCCGAAAGGGUUCGGCCGCCGAAGCUUGAGAUUCGGCCGCCGAAGGUGCUUGAGUUUCGUCUCUGGAGAAGACUUUCGGCCGCCGAACCUGCCGCCGAAAGUGUUCUGUCCAGCUUUCUUUUGCCUACUUUGCAUGGUUAGUUGAGUGAGUUUAAGGGGAUGUUUAGGGAGGUUAAUAGAGUUAUUCAGAAGCUUGUUUGGUCCCUCAUUUGAGUCCAUCUGUAUAGGUACAGAUCAGAGGAACCAGAGAGAGCAGCAGUGAGUACUGCUCCAGCGUGUUCAGAGCCUGCAGAGUCAGUCCAGUUAGCCAGAGGUGAGUGGAGCUAAACUUCAUUCUUUUACUUGCACAAUGGAAUGUUUUAGCAUAUCUCAUGCAUCAUGAUUAUGCCAUAGGUUGAGUGCAUUAGUACCCACAAAUAUGUUGCAUUGCAUAGUUAUUUGUUGAUGUGGGUAAAUGCUGAAUGAUCCCAUAGUCACAGACAGGAAGUCCAGGAGUCUUUGACUACGCCCUGGCAAUGGUAAGUACAGAGGUGUUAUAUACACAUAUACAUAUAUGACAGGAAGACCAGGUGCUCGAUUCUACGCCCUGGCACAGAGCUACUGGGACUAUGUGGUGACAGGUUUACUCUUGAUGUGGCUUGUUUGUGUUAUGACACAUUCAAUGAGAUCAUGUUUUACUGAGAUGUUUUACUGUUCUACUCACUGGGCUAUAGAGCUCAUCCCACUCCCUUAACCCCAGUUUUGCAGGUUCAGUAUACAGUGUACAGGGACAGUCCAGCAGGAUACAGAAAGAGUAAAGAGAUGUGUAAUAGUGUAGAGUGGACAUGUAAUGUUAAAGAGAGAUGUAAUGGUUCUGUUUUCAGUUACAGAUGUGCUUGACUUAGUCGUUUGUGAUGUAAAUCUGUUGUUUUGUACAUGAUCUGUCUAUGUAUAUGUUUUCCUGUAUGUGUGAAAAUCAGGCGUAACAGGUAUGAGUUAACCCAUCUAGAGUAAGCUCUAGUCAGGGGUACAGAGUACAGAGUACAGAGUACAGAGUACAGAGAUAGUGCAUGCACAGGUUAAGCCUUGGUUCAGAAAAGAGAUUUUAUUUUUCACAGAAAAUGUAUGAUCAUGUAUGAGUUAUACAAGUACACAGAGAGUAUAGCAGGCUUGCUACGAGUUCUGGCGGCCUUAAGCCGACCUGAAUCCUAGCGCCGGUGACAGUCCAUUUUGGGGUCGUUACAGAUUGGUAUCAGAGCCCUAAGUUCACAUGAUCGGACCUAUAGAGACAGUGUCGGGCUCAUAACAGGUAGCAGUGGUCAAGCACAAUAGGAAAUCAUGUCCACCAGGAUAGGGUCUUGAGUCCUAUCUGUUUCAUGCCAUGAGUUAUGCAUGUGCCUUCUUGCUAUGUGCUGUUUAUGUGCUAAAGUGCUAUGUUAUAUGUUGUGUUUCCAGCUAGUAAAGAUGAGAGGAACUCGUCGAUCAGCUCGAUUGACUGGAGGCCCCCCAGAUAGUGAGAGACCAGCUGCUCGUCCUCCUGCAUUGCCAAGGGCAAGGUCGCAGAGAUCUAGCAGGGAAGGUACGUCAAUAGACCCUAGAAGGUCUGUCGACGAGAGCAGAAGAGGAACAGUGAGGGGAGGAAGAUCAGAGGAAAGGAGGGAAGCGAUGGAGAUUGAUCAGUCAAGAGAUGAUAGCAUGGGUAUAGGCAGUUUUGAGGAAGGUAUGGGAGAGUCGCAGGGAGGUGCUCAGACCUCAGGUUUUGGCUACCCAGAGUAUCCGAUGGGAGGUAUGUCGGAGUACUCUAGUUUUGUGCCAUAUCCUUCUUACAUGCCAUAUAUGCCUUAUCCCUCUUACUACCCACCAUAUCCUAUGUAUCCAUCUUCCCCUACCCAUCCAAGUGCAGCACACCCAGAGCCAAAUGAACCAGUACCACCACCAGAACCAGUAGCCCCUGUUGUUGACAGACAUCAACCUAGCUCAUCUGGAGGUAAGGUACAAAUGACGGAGUACUUGAAAUUGGAUGCUCCUAAAUAUAACACGGGAAAUGAUCCAUUUGAAUACCUCAGAUCAGUUAGGAUGAUAACUAGUGAGUUGGGAGCUGAUGAUAGUAGAGCCAUUGAGAUGGCAGGGUUUACACUUAAAUGCAAGAAAGCCAGAGAAUGGUUUAAGAAUUAUGUGGAACCCAGAAUGAACAGUAUGUCUUGGGGAGAGUUCGCCAAUGAGUUUGCAGGGUGGGCUUUUCCUGACAGUUCUAGGGAGAUGAAAGUAAUUGAGUUUGAACAGUUGCGACAGACAGAUGAGAUGAGUGUUGAUGAAUUCACAGAUAAGUUUCUGGAUUUGCUUCAGUAUGUGGGUCAAGCCUAUGAUACUGAUCAGAAGAAGGCAAGGAGAUAUACUAUGAGAUUGCAUCCCAGGUAUUCUUCUUUGAUUCUUCCAGCAGAAAAGGAGAGUUUCCACACGAUAGUGGACGCCGCCAGGAAAAUGGAAGCUAGUGCCAAUAUUCAGAAACAGUCAAAGGCACAGGCUUCGGGUUCUAAAGCCCCCACUUCAGGCAGCAAGAAAUGGGAUAGAGCGAAAGGAACAAAGAGUAAGUUCUGGAGUAAAGUGAAGUCAGGUCUGGGAAUAGGUAGUGGCUCAAGCUCUGGCACAGCUCCAGUCUGCAGACGAUGCGGAAAACCACAUGGAGGAGUUUGUCAGUUGGGAUCUACAGCUUGUUUUCGCUGUGGACAGGAAGGACAUAUUGCUCGGAAUUGUCCUCAGGUGACUUUUGCACCAUCCCAGCAGAUGAGUUCAGGCAGUGUGGUACAGCCAGUUGUUCGGCCAGCAGCUCCAGUCAUGCCUCAAAGUAGUGGCAGAGGUAGAGGGAGAGGGGCAGCCUCUACUUCAGCAGCAGGUUCCCGAGGUGGAAAUUCGGUAGCCCCAGCACGGAUUUUCACUGUGACACAGGAGGAGGCGAACACGUCGAACACAGUGGUGUCGGUAAUCUCAUCAUUGGGUGUUCAGAUGUGUAUGCUUUGAUGGACCCCGGUGCUUCUCAUUCCUUUAUUGCUUCGAGAGCCAUAGAGAGAUUGGGUUUGAUCAGUUCUGAGUUAGAGUAUCCUCUCUGGGUCAGUGGACCUAGAUGUGACCCAUCAGUGGCAGUGUCAGUCUGUCGUUUCAGUCUAGUGUUCAUAGAGGGUAGAUACCUUCUAGCUGACCUUGUGGUUCUAGAUUUGACGGAUUUUGAUGUCAUUCUAGGGAUGGAUUGGUUAUCUACAUAUAGUGCUACAUUGGACUGUAGAGAGAAGAUAGUGAGUCUCAGAGACCAGGAUGGGUCAGAGUGUGUCUUUAGAGGAGACAGGAGAGGUACACCCAGAGGUAUGAUUUUAGCCCUUCAGGCUCAUCGUUUGCUUAGGAGGGGUUGUCAGGGGUUUCUAGCUCAUGUGAGAGAGCUAGACAGUCAGGUGAGGGAACCAGCCACCGUACCAGUAGUUCGAGAGUUUCUCGAUGUGUUCCCAGACGAUUUACCAGGACUCCCACCUGAUAGGGAGAUAAGGUUUGAAAUUGAAUUGCUGCCAGGUACCAGACCUAUCUCUAUUCCUCCCUACAGGAUGGCGCCAGCAGAGUUACAAGAGUUGAAAGAACAGUUGCAGGAUUUGGUAGAUAAGGGUUUCAUCCGCCCUAGUACCUCACCUUGGGGUGCUCCAGUGCUCUUUGUCAGAAAGAAGGAUGGAUCCCUCAGACUUUGUAUCGACUACAGACAGUUGAACAAGGUCACUAUCAAGGAUAGGUAUCCUCUACCUAGGAUUGAUGAUCUAUUUGACCAGCUAGCUGGAGCAGGUUGUUUCUCUAAAAUAGAUCUGAGAUCCGGGUAUCAUCAGUUGAGAGUCAGAGAGGCAGAUGUGCCUAAGACAGCUUUCAGGACCAGAUAUGGGCAUUAUGAGUUCUUAGUGAUGCCGUUCGGGUUGACUAACGCCCCUGCAGCAUUCAUGGAUCUCAUGAAUAGAGUGUUCAGUGAGUUUCUGGAUCACUUUGUCAUUGUUUUCAUCGAUGAUAUUUUGGUGUAUUCCAGAGAUGCAGAGGAGCAUGCCCAGCAUCUGAGGAUAGUUUUGCAGACACUGAGAGAGCAUGGUUUGUAUGCCAAGUUCUCGAAGUGUGAGUUUUGGUUGAGGAGCAUUGCCUUCUUGGGACACGUGGUAUCAGCAGAGGGUAUUGAGGUAGACCCCAAGAAGAUAGAGGCUGUAGCGAACUGGCCCAGACCCACUACGGUGACUGAGAUUAAAAGCUUUCUGGGACUGGCAGGUUACUACAGGAGGUUCGUGCAGAACUUCUCAAAGAUAGCAGCUCCGAUGACCAAACUAACUCAGAAGAAUCAGAAGUUUGUCUGGUCAGACCAGUGUGAAGAGAGCUUUGAGGAGCUCAAGCGGAGAUUGACCACAGCACCAGUGUUAGCUCUGCCUGUCAGUAAUGAGGAUUUCACAGUGUUCUGUGAUGCAUCUCGAGUGGGAUUGGGUUGUGUAUUGAUGCAGAGUGAGCGGGUGAUAGCUUAUGCUUCUAGACAGUUGAAGAAGCACGAGUNNNNNNNNNNNNNNNNNNNNNNNNNNNNNNNNNNNNNNNNNNNNNNNNNNNNNNNNNNNNNNNNNNNNNNNNNNNNNNNNNNNNNNNNNNNNNNNNNNNNNNNNNNNNNNNNNNNNNNNNNNNNNNNNNNNNNNNNNNNNNNNNNNNNNNNNNNNNNNNNNNNNNNNNNNNNNNNNNNNNNNNNNNNNNNNNNNNNNGUCGUGGUGGAGCUUUACAAGCUCUUAGAAGAAGGGUUACAGUUAGAGUUGUCUGGUACAGGUGCAUUGAUAGCACAGAUGCGAGUGACACCUGUGUUUCUGGAGCAGAUAGCUCGGAGACAGCAUGAGGACCCUGAGUUGAUGAAAAUUGCCAGGACUGUUCAGUCAGGCAACAGUGCAGAGUUCAGCUUUGACAGCAAAGGGAUCCUCCGCUAUGGGAAUCGACUUUGUGUACCAGAUACGAGCAGUGUGAAGGCAGACAUUAUGAGGGAAGCUCAUAAUGCGCGGUAUAGUGUUCACCCAGGAGCCACCAAGAUGUAUCAAGAUCUGAAAAAGGUCUAUUGGUGGCCAGCCAUGAAGAUAGAAGUGGCACAAUUUGUGACAGCCUGUGAGAUUUGCCAGAGGGUGAAACUAGAGCAUCAGAAACCAGCAGGAAUGCUUAACCCAUUGCCGAUUCCAGAGUGGAAAUGGGAGAACAUAGCCAUGGAUUUUGUAGUGGGUUUACCAGCAGCAUCCAACAGGAUAGACUCUAUAUGGGUGAUUGUGGACAGACUCACGAAAUCUGCUCAUUUUCUUCCAGUACGGAGUAACUAUUCUGUGGAUAAGUUGGCACAGGUCUAUCUGGAUGAGAUAGUGAGAUUACAUGGAGUUCCAGUGUCUAUAGUUUCAGACAGAGGACCUCAGUUUACCUCUAGAUUUUGGCGAAGUCUGCAGAGUGCGAUGGGCACGAGAUUAGAGUUUAGCACUGCUUUCCACCCACAGACUGAUGGACAGUCAGAGAGGACCAUCCAGACCAUAGAGGAUAUGCUUCGACUGUGUGUGUUAGACUUUGGCGGUUUUUGGCGGCAGCAUCUACCUUUGGUGGAGUUUGCCUACAAUAACAGCCAUCAUGCUAGCAUAGGGAUGGCUCCUUAUAAAGCUUUGUAUGGGAGGAAGUGCAGAUCCCCUGUUUGUUGGGAAGAAAUAAGAGAGAAGGCUCUUGCAGGGCCAGAGUUAGUAGAGAUUACCAGUAGAGUGGUGCCCGUGAUCAGAGAGAGAAUCAGAACAGCGCAGAGUAGACAGAAAAGUUAUGCAGACGUGCGCAGAAAAUAGUUAGAGUUUCAGGAGGGUAAUAUGGUAUUGCUGAAAGUGUCUCCAAUGAAAGGAGUGGUUCGUUUUGGGAAGAAGGGUAAAUUAGCUCCACGGUACAUUGGACCCUUUGAAAUUGUGCAGAGGAUCGGCAAUGUGUCAUAUAAGCUGGAUUUACCUGCUUCUAUGGCGAGAAUUCACCCGGUAUUUCAUGUUUCUAUGCUACGGCAGUUUGUGUCAGAUCCGAAUCAGGUUCUGAGUGAGCCUGAGGUGGAGAUUCUUACAGAUCUCACCUAUAUAGAGCAGCCAGUGCGGAUUCUGGACACGCAGAUCAGACAGCUAAGAAACAAGGAGAUUCCGAUGGUGAAAGUUCUAUGGAACCACCAUAAUCUAGAAGAGUGCACCUGGGAGACGCGAGAGUCGAUGCUCCAGCAGUAUCCAUAUUUGUUUUGAGGUUAGUUUCCUCCGUUUUUUGUGUUAUUUGUGUUAGUAUCAUUCGAGGACGAAUGUUCUUAAGGGGGGGAGAAUGUAAUACCCGGCUGGAGUCCGGCAUCGGAAUUCUACUUUCCGGUGGAGUCCGGGAUGUCGGAAGUCUCUAGAAGGGUAGGAUUUAUGUUUUCCGACAGUGUUAUGAUGCAUUUGAAGGUUUUUAGUUGAUUUGAUUUGAGUUGGUUUGAGGAAAGGAAGAGAAAAGGCUAUGGAGACUUUUGCCAAGUUCGGCCGCCGAAGGUAAGUUCGGCCGCCGAAAGUGCCCAAUGUUCGGCUUCCGCAGUUCAGAUUCGGCCCCCGAAUGUUGCAUGGUUUUGCAUGCGAUUCGGCAGCCGAAGCUGAGUUGCUCAGCCAACUAAUGAGCAUUCCUGAGUCAGCAUUUUGGACAGGUGUUGGCUCCACACCCUGUCCAGAAGCUUGGCCACGUCUCCUAUAUUGUCCAGCUCCUGCAAGUGUGUUGUUUUGUUGGGUGUCAAAAUUUUUGAGAGUUUGAAGCAAAAAGCUUAGGUUUGAGAGUUUAUGCGUGUGAAGAGAGUUGAUUCAUUUUCUUUGUUCAGAUCGUUCAUCUUCUUGAAUACAGGAGGUAAGUGAAGAUCUUUACAGAAGCUUUAUGAAGGUUUGGGUAGAGAUGCAUGCUUAGGUGACAAAGGGUGUUUUCUUUUGAUGGUUUAGCUUGUAAGCAUGAUUAUGUGUUCUGUGUGAUGUGUUUUGUUGGGGUGUUUAGGUAGUUUUGGACCCCUUUGUACAUAUACAUGAGUAUAUGUGUGUGGAGGAGUUGAGGUAUGCAUGUUUUGAGAGCUUGAAGGGAUGGAGGAGCUUGUUUGCCAUCGGGGCUGAGUUCUGGAUGAACUCAGGUUCGGCAGCCGAAGGUUCAUUCGGCCGCCGAACCCCUUGCAUGGUGGCUUAGGCUGCCACAGCUUGCCCCCGCGAGUUUUGAAUGUUCGGCUCUGUUUGGGGGAUUCGGCCGCCGAAGGUGCCGCCGAAGGUUAGAGACUUUCGUCUCUGGAGUGCCUUUUGGCCCCCGAAACUUGCCCCCGAAAGGGUUCGGCCGCCGAAGCUUGAGAUUCGGCCGCCGAAGGUGCUUGAGUUUCGUCUCUGGAGAGGACUUUCGACCGCCGAACCUGCCGCCGAAAGUGUUCUGUCCAGCUUUCUUUUGCCUGCUUUGCAUGGUUAGUUGAGUGAGUUUAAGGGGAUAUUUGGGGAGGUUAAUAGAGUUAUUCAGAAGCUUGUUUGGUCCCUCAUUUGAGUCCAUCUGUAUAGGUACAGAUCAGAGGAACCAGAGAGAGCAGCAGUGAGUACUGCUCCAGCGUGUUCAGAGCCUGCAGAGUGAGUCCAGUUAGCCAGAGGUGAGUGGAACUAAACUUCAUUCUUUUACUUGCACAAUGGAAUGUUUUAGCAUAUCUCAUGCAUCAUGAUUAUGCCAUAGGUUGAGUGCAUUAGUACCCACGAAUAUGUUGCAUUGCAUAGUUAUUUGUUGAUGUGGGUAAAUGCUGAAUGAUCCCAUAGUCACAGACAGGAAGUCCAGGAGCCUUUGACUACGCCCUGGCAGGUAUAGCAAAGUCCAGGAGCCUUUGACUACGCCCUGGCAGGUAUAGCAAAGACCAGGAGCCUUUGACUACGCCCUGGCAAUGGUAAGUACAGAGGUGUUAUAUACACAUAUACAUAUAUGACAGGAAGACCAGGUGCUCGAUUCUACGCCGUGGCACAGAGCUACUGGGACUAUGUGGUGACAGGUUUACUCUUGAUGUGGCUUGUUUGUGUUAUGACGCAUUCCAUGAGAUCAUGUUUUACUGAGAUGUUUUACUAUUCUACUCAAUGGGCUAUAGAGCUCAUCCCACUCCCUUAACCCCAGUUUUGCAGGUUCAGUAUACAGUGUACAGGGACAGUCCAGCAGGAUACAGAAAGAGUAAAGAGAUGUGUAAUAGUGUAGAGUGGACAUGUAAUGUUAAAGAGAGAUGUAAUGGUUCUGUUUUCAGUUACAGAUGUGCUUGACUUAGUCGUUUGUGAUGUAAAUCUGUUGUUUUGUACAUGAUCUGUUUAUGUAUAUGUUUUCCUGUAUGUGUGAAAACCAGGCGUAACAGGUAUGAGUUAACCCAUCUAGAGUAAGCUCUAGUCAGGGGUACAGAGUACAGAGUACAGAGUACAGAGUACAGAGUACAAAGAUAGUGCAUGCACAGGUUAAGCCUUGGUUCAGAAAAGAGAUUUUAUUUUUCACAGAAAAUGUAUGAUCAUGUAUGAGUUGUACAGGUACACAGAGAGUAUAGCAGGCUUGCUACGAGUUCUGGCGGCCUUAAGCCGACCUGAAUCCUAGCGCCGGUGACGGUCCAUUUUGGGGUCGUUACACUUAUAGCCUCAUUUUUACUUUUCUUCAAUAGAAUAGUUAACCCUUAACGUUAACAAAAAGUAAAAUGUCAGUAAAAUUUGUUAUUCCUAUUUUUUAUAGUCCUAAUUUAUGAUUUGUUCGAGUGUUUGAGAUUUUUUUUAUAAAUUAUUAAAUAUUCAAAAUUUACUGAUUUGACUAAUUUAAAUUCGCGCUGAACAGACCUAUUAAGAGGUAAAACUAUCAUUCUCAAGUUUUUAAAAGUAUUUUAUAGUUUGAAUUUAAAAUCUCUAAUUAAAAGAGAAAAAAUUCGGAUUAUCUCAUCUCAUAUAUCAAAAUGAAUGCUUAAAUUUUAAUUUAGGAGGAGAAUAAAUUUUUAUCAACAUAUAUCUAAUGUUUGAAGGCUUUGAUACUCCCAUGAGAUUGCCUAUGUCUUCUUUUUCUAGUUUGGUGGUUCAACUCCGGUAUUGCGAAAAAUGUUCAGGCUUUGUUAUGCUAUGCUUAUGGAGUUUUCAUAUUCUAACAUCUUAUUUUAUUUUAUAAACUCUUUUAUUUGUUUACACUAUGUUUAGAUAAUAUGUAAUAUGUAGAAAAUAGGAAAGAAGAAAAAUAAUUAAGAAAACUAAUGAAAGAAUUCUACUUUCUAUUUUUAUUUAAAACAGUGGAGAAAAUAAAGCAAAAUAAUCUUUAUUUUACUUUAAUUUUUUUUCUCUCCGGUCUAGAAAGAAACUAGCAAAGAAUUAUGUUUUUUUUUUAAUUUUAAAUUUACAUUACGUAAACAAUAGAAAAAAAAAAAGUAUAAUGAUAAAUUUGUAAAUAUAUAAUCANNNNNNNNNNNNNNNNNNNNNNNNNNNNNNNNNNNNNNNNNNNNNNNNNNNNNNNNNNNNNNNNNNNNNNNNNNNNNNNNNNNNNNNNNNNNNNNNNNNNNNNNNNNNNNNNNNNNNNNNNNNNNNNNNNNNNNNNNNNNNNNNNNNNNNNNNNNNNNNNNNNNNNNNNNNNNNNNNNNNNNNNNNNNNNNNNNNNNNNNNNNNNNNNNNNNNNNNNNNNNNNNNNNNNNNNNNNNNNNNNNNNNNNNNNNNNNNNNNNNNNNNNNNNNNNNNNNNNNNNNNNNNNNNNNNNNNNNNNNNNNNNNNNNNUUUUUUCCUUCUCCUCUUUUCGAUUCUAUUUGACGGAAUAGGGGUUUUUUUGUGGAUUCUCUUUAUCAGUAGUAAUAAGGAGAAGAGUUCACAAAGCUAUGGCGAUUUCUUCUCUCUCUGCUUCAACAAUUCCAUCUUUGAAGACACCGCCCUCACAGCUGACUACUACCAAUUUGACUUCCUUGUCUUCGCUGCAGUUUCCAGCGCAGCUUCAGAGGCUUCAGUUUAGGGUCAGAGGGAUUUCCUCUCCUUCCAGGUCUCGAAUUUUGCAUCUGGUAAUGCUCUUAUACUCGAUCAUUUCCUCCCACCUCUUAUGUUUCGUUUUCUUCUUUUUCCCUUUUUGGAGGAGACUGAAGGAUGCAAAUUAGGUGAUACGGAUUUUAGAAUAGAAUAAUAAUUAGAGGAUGUAACAUAAACAUCUCUUGUUCAAUUUUUACGUAGGUCCUAGGCAAUUGGGUUGAAGUCAAUUUGAGAGAUAUGCUCACAUUCUAUGGAGUUUGUUCUUGAUUUUGUGCAGCUUAAAAAGCUCUGCUUAAGAUUUUAGCUGCUGUCAAUUGGUCUCAAGGGUGUUUAGUGCUUAGUGUUGGAUGCUUUUAUUUGGUCAGUUGGCUGAAAAGGAGAGUAGGAAGGAACUGGGUCCUAUGAAUAGUUACGUGUAGAGUCGUCAUAUUUGUUUUCAAUAUAAUUUCUACAUAUCGGAUGUUGCCCCUACCUCCUGGCAACUGACAAUACUAUUAGAAAAUAUCGGAUCUUAUAGUAAUUCCUCGUGAAAGAAGGAGAAGAAGAAGAAGAAGAAGAAGAAGAAGAAGAAGAAGAAAUAAUGUCAAUGGGAUUUAGAUUGAGGUCAUUUUGGGGCAUAUGAUUCUAUGUGAAAUCCUUAUUUUUUUUCAUUUCCAAAUAUCAAAGAUGAGAAUGAAUGAAUGGGUUUCCCGUUCCAUAUCCUCAUAAACCUGGCAAUUUCUUGGAGUAAUAGUUCAUUUCAUAAAAAUAGUUUUUAAAGACCAUAGUGGAAUUCAGAAUCCACUGGGUGCUUUUGCAAUGGUUCAUUUCAAUUUACUGCUUUACUUCAUUUUUAGCGGUUCUUACUUAUGUAAUGAAUAAAAUAUGUUCUGGAGGAUAUUUUGGCAGUAGUGCAUAAUUGGUGAAGGGCAUUUCUUUUUCUUAAAAAAUUGAAAUUACUUCAUGAAGUCAGUGCUUAAUAAUCUCAAAUCUCAAAUUUUUACCCAUCAACAGUAUGCUGGCAUUUUGGUGAUGUAUACUUUCGAAGAAAUUUAUUCUAUGACUAUGACAGAACUAUCUUUCUUCCUUUUCCAUCUCUAAUUCUGAGUUUAUAUUAUUCUGGGUAUAUUAGAUGCUCCUUCUUACAUUCAAAGUUCUGUCAAUUAGUAUGCUAUAUAUGUAACAACUAUUGUUGUCUUUUAUGCUUAUGCAUGAGCAUCAUGAUCCCUCAUGCUUUCUACCCAUUACACUUGAUCCCUAAGAAAUAAAUUGAGUUGCAGAUUUCAAGUUAGAUACAUGCUCUUUUUUCUUUUUUAUUUACCUUUUAGCUAGACAAAGUAAUUUAGUGGGAGCGGACAUUCGAUAUGCUUAAAGCUUAGUAGGUGAACAAAGUCAAGUCUUCACAAGAACAGCAAAUCUUGAAGAUGUAACUUAGUGUGGAAAGAAAUUGCUUGAUGUGUUGGAUUUGUUAUUCCAGAUAGUUGUUGCCUAGGCUCAUAGUAAUUGGUAUAUUUAGUAGUAGUUUGCAACUUAUCUUUUAGAGUUUGAGAAUUUAAUCAGAAGUUUCUUGACAUUAGAUUGGCAGCCAAACACAGUAUGCCCAUUUGAUUAUGGAACUAUGAAGUUAAUGCCAAUAUUAUGCUUCUGGUUCUUAGAAGAUGGGAUUUUUUUAUGGAUUUUUUAUCUCUCCAUUACUGUAUGUAAUUUGUUGUAAAUGUAAUAAAGAGAAUGCUCAAUCUUACUAGAUUAGAUUGGUCUUAUUAGUUGCUUUAUGUGCUAGUUUCUUUUUGCAUCUGUACUAUAUUGAGUUUAAACAAUUUGCUAAAUGAUUGUGCAGGUUGCAGCAAAGAAGCAAACAUUUUCAUCCCUUGAUGAGUUGUUGGAAAAUGCUGACAAGCCAGUGUUGGUCGACUUCUAUGCAACCUGGUGACUUCCUUUUCGUUCCUUUUCAAUGUGUUUUCUUUCUAGCCUUUCUUUUAUUACAUUUUAUGAGAAAGAAUUGUGUCAUGGAGAUGACGUCUGAUCAUCUUCAAAUCACCUAAAACCCUGCAGUAAAUUCUUCCAUCUUCCCAAUUAAAUAAUUAGAGUUAAUUUGCUGGCCUUAAGAGAUUUUUUUUAGAAUAUGUGAUGAGCAUUUUGUGCUAAAGACUGCAAUGAUGCUGAAUAAGGAUCUUUAAGAUGCAGAUUUUUUUUUUUAAAACUUUGACAUGGGUUGGAAUAGCAAUCAGAGAAUAAGAAUAAAUAGGCCAAGCUGUUGUUUGCAGGUGCGGUCCUUGCCAGCUUAUGAGUCCAAUUCUUGAUCAAGCAAGUGCUGUCCUAAAAGACACGAUCCAGGUGGUAAAAAUUGAUACUGAGAAGUACCCGAGCAUUGCUGACAAAUAUAGAAUAGAAGCAUUGCCUACAUUUAUCAUCUUUAAGGAUGGCAAACCUUAUGACCGCUUUGUAAGUUCGUUCAGUAUCUGUAAGCUUCUUUGAAAAAAAAUAAUUUUACAUCUUCAGGAUGAUAUUCUUGAAAUGCAAUGCUUUUUGUGAGACCAUCAACAAGGGUUUUCUCUUCACGUGUAUCUGAUUGCUGAUUGUCUUGUCAAUGGCAUUCUUUAUGAUAGAAAUUAAAAUAAAAUAUAGAAAAGGAAUAAGUAGGAGAUACUAUAUAUAAAACGUUUGCUACAAGGCUUACAAUCUGAAUCUGCUAGAGCCAGAGGAGAGCAAAUCACUUCCUCUCAAUAUUAUUUAUCCCCAUGCUGCAAUUCUUUCUUUUUAAAUUUUAGUCUACCAUUUGAUGUUUCAACGCCCAUGUACUGUCAUCCAUUUUCUGAUUUUGACUUGUUACUGACCUUGCUGCCUUGGUGUGGUAAUUUCCAGGAGGGUGCUUUGCCUAAAGAUAAGUUCAUUGAACGCAUCGAGAAUUCACUGCAAGUGAAGCAAUAGAUAUGGUAACCCUUGUCCCUUUUUAAGUCUGUCCCUUUCAGAAUGCGUAACCCUUGUCCCUUUUUAAGUCUGCCCCUUUCAGAAUGCAUUUGCAUGCUAUGAGACCCCAUAAAUAAACUCACUCCCAAUUUCGGCGCACAGAUUCUAUGAGGAAUGAAAUAUGAAGCCAUUAUGUGUAAUUUUUUACUAGGAAGGUCACCCAUUCUUCGCCUCCCAGAAUGCUGUAACGAGGGUAAUUGUACCUAAAAGAGUGAUAAACACAAAAAUACAAUAGCAUAUUUGUUUAUAACUCUUGGAAAUUUUGCAAAAAGAUUGUAUUUGUUUUUGAAACAUUUAUAAGCUCCACUCUUUUAAUGGUUACUGGACUUGGUGCAGCCAUCGUUGAUCAGGUCAUGUUAUCUCUUGGUUGAAUAAGUUUAUUCCAUUGCAGUUUCUGGAUCGAUUAGAAAGUUAGGCUACUAAAAGAAGUCCUGGAUUCAAAAUUUUCCACUCAGCAAGAUUGUGUAGGGGCAGCUAUGCAUGAUUGCUUCCUGCCAACUGUGGAAGCUUCAGAUUCUAACCUUUGUAGGGCAGAACCUUGGCUUGGUUUUUUGAUUAAUUUCAUGUUUCUACACAUCUUCCUCAUGUUGCAAUAGUUUAAAAUUACCAAGUUCAACUUUAAGCCAUUGAUGGAGGAAGGAAUCGACAUUGAGCUUGAUAAAAAUGAGAUUUAUUAUUAUUAAUAUUAUUUUAAGAAAAGAUUUAUACUUCGUUUGGAAUUAGUAUAUAGUUUUUCUUUAAGAAAUAACUUUUAGAAAAAAUUCAAUAUACUAAAAAAUUGAGAAGUUUAAAUAUUUUAAAUUUUUUAAUUAUGGUAAUGUAUAAUGGCUAGUCACGUGACAUGCAUUUAUCAGGCAUUUCCUUGUUAGUGUCAUUUUUUGAUAAAUUACAUAAUAAAUUAAAAGAGAGAGAAAGAGGAGAGAUGAAAUCUCGGAAAACGAAUCAAUGGAGAAGGGCAGCUGAAGUAGUGCGAUUGCGUCGGAAAGGGAUUUUUCCCAUUUUUGUGUUUAGGAUUUGUUAUUUUCGUUUGUGGUUUCUAUUUGAUUUGGCUUUUAUUUAAUUUUGGCUUUCGUUUUCUCUUCGAGUCUUCUUGUUUAUUUUCCGUCGCUUUUGAGCAAGAGGUCCGACGCUGUCCUUGAUUAACCCUCAACAAAGGAGGACAACCGGUUUUAGUUUUUAUUUUUAUUUUUUUAUUCUUUUUUUAUGAUUUUUGCAGAUCUACGACGAUCAUCCGCGAGGAUUCGUUCGUUUGGGUCUAAUUUAAUAAAAUCUAUGUUCAUCUAUUAUUUAAUUUAAUUUAACAUACGAUCAUGAUGAUCGUCUGUGGUUUUUAUCAAAUAUUUUUUUGAUAAAAUGUCUAAAUAAGUUUAAUUAAUUUUUUUUAAAAUAAAAAUUUGAAUUUUACUUUUAAAUACAAACUGAUUUUGAUGUAAUAAGUUUAAUUAAUAAUCUAUUUAUUUUUAAACUUUUAAAUAUCAAUAAUUAUAUAAUAUAAUAUCCGUCCAAAGUAUACGAUUAGCUAUUACCAUACGACGGAGCCACAUGCCAAAAUUCUAAUAAACUGUGACGUUCGGUCAUGAAAAUCUUCCAUAAGAGAGGAGAUCCGGUCAUUGUAAAGGUCAAUACUCGGAACAACAGAAAACUCGCCCUUUUAUGACUGGUCGAGUCUUUCUUAACAUUUAAGUUACCAUUAAAAGAUAUUAUACAGCACAUCUCCAUUACGCCUACAAACACGAGAUUUCUUAUCCACUGGCUGGUACUAGUCGGAUUACUAAGAAAAUCACCAACUAACUCCAUUUUCUCACAGUGUAAAAGAAGUAUACACAGAGUUCAAGGUACACAUUAUUGCACACUUUUCUUAAGUUCAAGCAACUUACUUACACUCAUCCUUUCUGAUAAAUUAUUAACUUGAGUGUCAGAGUGAUUGCCAAUAUGCGCCAACCACAUCACUUUCUUUCUUUUGUAGAGUGACCAAUCAUCUUUAGCUCAUUUUCAGCCACAUCAUUUAGUUACAUUACUGAGAUCACCCAUUGAGUUUUCUUGUUCAUUUGGGAUAAAUCCGAUUAGUUUUUUGUUUAUCUUUUCACUCAAAGUGCUUUCCCUCUUUGUCACUUUACCCUUAAAAUGGCUGAAAACUCAUGAGUUGUGGCUAAAUCUAUUACCAACAAAGGAGUCAUCGUCUCCUAUACCCCAGGUAGUGACAGGACACUCCUCUCAUGGUCAAUGAGAUAGACCUCAACAAUCCAAACAAUGAGCAAAUUGUACAAUACAUUAAAAAGCUCCAAGCAACUCUCAAGCAAUAUAAAUCUCGGGAGAAGGCCUCAUUCAUGGCUCCCAGAAUAAGGGAGGAAGUUUCUUUCGAGACCCCAAAGACAUGCAGUCCAAAAGAAAGGCCAAACUAGAAGAUGAGAAAUCAUCAGACGAGACCCCAAAAGAUGUCAAUUGGAAGUAGUACUAGAAGAAGCAAGAUGAAGAUUAUGGUUUGGACAACUCUUCACCCCUAUCAGAGGAAAUUCUUGCAAAGACUUUUCCCACAAAGUUCAAGCUGUCUAGUUUGGACAAAUACGACGGGAUGGUAGACCCUAGGAGUCAUUUGGCUAUCUUCUGAACUACGAUGCAGCUCCAGGAUGUCAAUGAAUUUGUAUUGUGCUGAGUCUUCUCGUCCACUCUCACAGGUUUGGCCUAAAAAUAGUAGCAGCAUUUGAGUUCAAGUUCUAUCUACAAUUUUACACAACUUGCUAUAUUAUUUAAAUCUAAGUUUGCUACUUGUAUAUCUCCUAAAAAAAUCUCCUCCGACUUAUGAAAAAUCCGACAAGGAGAGCGCGAGUCUUUAAGGAGUUUUAUCUCAUGUUUCAAUGUUAAAGCAAUACUGAUUGAAGAAUUGAAUCACGAGAUAGCAUGUGAGGAAUUAAAGAAAAGGACUCGCAACAUAAAAUUUAUGGAUUCGUUAAUCAAGAAUCCAAUAGCCACUUAUUAGCAAUUAAUGGAUAAGGCACAAAAAUACAUUUGGUUGAAUGAUGAAGUCUAGGCGCUAAGAGAGGAUAAGAAGACAUGUCAAAGUAAAACCUAGAAGCCAAAAAGGCAAGGCUACAAAAGAGAUCGGAAGAGGUAUCCCGUGUUUCGAGGGAAAGAAGAUCGAGGUAAGUAAUACACUCCUUUAAAUGACUCACGCACACAUGUUUUGAUGUGGAUUAGAAAAAACGACAAAGAGGUCAAAUGGCCCAUCAAGCUUAACCCAGACAAAGUGAACAUGUGGGACAGAAUAAAGUAUUGUCGAUUUCAUGAAAAUCAUGGGCACACUACAGAAGAAUGCAGGCAACUAAAGGACGAGAUUGAAAGUCUCAUUAGAGAUGAAACUAUAAUGAGAUUUGCUAUAAAAGAUAGAGAAGAAAAAGGGUCAGAGCCUGAGGUAAGAUCACUGGUCAAUCUUGAUGAAAAUGAAUCUGUAGGGGUUAUUCACAUAAUUGCAGGGGAUCAAGUAGCGAUAAGGAAACCAAGGUUUUGUAGAAAUAAAAUGUCAUUAAUAUUCAAUUCCUAAGUCAAAAUCUGAAUCUUUAACAUAGAAGAUCCAAUCCUUAAAAUAGUUUGACAUAACAAGAAGGGAUGCCGAGUCUAGUGAGUUAGGCGAAAACCAGAAGGGACUAUAUAAGGUCUCCAAGGUUAUUCGUCCGAAUGAUUAUAAGUUGGUCAAGUUAGAUGGCUAUGUCAUUUUUUAUUCUUGGAGUAUUGUGUAAUUCAUGGAAAUAUUAUCAAUAAAAUUAUGAUGUAUUUUUCAAUUCUUUUAGUAUUUAAAUUAGAAUUAUCAGAAACGAUAGAUUCAUGAAAGCGUUGGGCUAAAUAAAAUGCCAUAAGGCGGGUAAUCGCCAGGCAAGCCACAAGGCGAGUGACUGCCAAGUGAAUCUUUAGGUAUUAGCCCCAAAAGACAAGGGUUAAGACAAUUUCUAUCAAAAAACGCCACAAGACGAGUGACCAUUAAGCGAGUUUUCGAGUGUUAAUCCUAAAAUAUAAGAAUUAAGGCAAUUUAUGUCAAAGAACACUACAAGGAGAGCAAUCGUCAUACAUAUGACCGAGUUUCAAACCUAUUAAUAAAGUUUAAGGCAUUUUUUGUCUAAACCUCGAGGUGGAUAACUGACAAGCAAAGGUUCGGGUGUUAGCUUAAAUCAUUAAAUAUUUUAAGUUAAUUUUACGCCGUUAUUUUUAUGUUGUUGGUAUCGAUCCUUAUACUUGAUAAAAAUAAAGACGAGAUGAACAAAAUAUUUUCUCAUUAAUGGAGGGAAAAGAUUAUAAAGCAGGAGGGUCUUCUUUGCUAACCCCCUCUUGAGCUCCUAUUAUAUUUUCUACUAUAAUGACAUCUUCAAUUAAAGUCGAAUCGAAAGAAUGGUUGCUAUUUUGCCUCUCCUCUACUUGUUCCUCUUCUUCCUCCUCCUUUGGGAAAAUGUCAUCGAUCCAAGAGAAGUUUUUUGAAGGAUAACGCUUGAUUAGCUCCUUCUUGACAGAAUCUUGGCCUUCCAAAAAUAUUUUCCCACCCCGAGCCACUGUCUAUUGAAGCUCAGCUUCCAGUUCAGCCACCCUAUCUAUGAUGGCUUGGUUCUUUUGAGCAUGAGACUACUGCUCCUGGACUUGCCGUUGAAGGAUAGCCACUUGAUCCUUGGCGGUUUUAGUUCGAUUCUCAAGGGCGAGCUUUGAAGUGUUGGUUUCAUCUAGGUCUGCCUGGAGUUUAUCUACAGACUUGAGGGUCUCGUUCAUUGUGUUCUCUACCUCGGUGAUUCGAGCCUUCAGCCUUAAGUAUUCCUCUCGAAGGAGGUUUUUGUCUGUUUCCUGACUACUGAACUCUCUCCUCAAAGCUUUGUUCCGCUCCUUGGCUAAGUAUGUGCAUAGGAUGCUUUCCAUGGCAGAGUGAAUGAUGUUGUCAUAUAGUUCGUCUAUCUCAACAGCACCCAGACGAUGGCGGUCAUUGGGUCUCAAGGAAUUCUUGGCUAUAAGGAUUAACAACUGGGGUUUCUCAAGAAGCGAGUCCACCUAGGUCAGCGCCAUUGCCAAGUGUUGAAUGCCUUGUGGCCACAGGGCUCCAGUUCUAGCCUCCUCGUAUUGUGCACUGAAUUGAUGGGGCGAUACUAGAGGAACAUCCCUGGAGGAAGACUCGAGUUGGAUGAUAAAUGGCUCAAUUGUAGUUGAGGGUGGAGGAGGAGGAGGAGGCAAAAUGAUAAUCUCUUCUGCCCAUCAUGCCCGUUUUGGAGGAGGGCCCACAGUACUAGUAGUGGACUUUCUUUUUCGGGCAGCACGAGCUACCUUUGCAAACUUGCUCUUUCCUUUACCCGCCAUAUCUGCAUAAAACAGAGAGUGAGCAAGUAAAAUAAUGUAAAGGUAAAAAUGGUUAAAAAGUAAAAUACCUUACUCUGAGGAAGACAAUAAAAUCAUCCUUGGUUUCUGAUAACCGGUUGGCCGAGGCAACUGGGCUCGUUCUAUUUGGAAGUGGCUUUGCCAGGAUAAGGUGGCGUUCCUCACGGCCACGUUAAUGUCCAUUCUGUGGACCGAGGCCAUUUUCUAGAGGAAGUCUAGAGCCUUUUCCUCGUCUCUCUACAGUUGAACUCCACUAUUUGGAAGUGGCUUUGCCAGGAUAAGGUGGCGUUCCUCACGGCCACGUUAAUGUCCAUUCUGUGGACCGAGGCCAUUUUCUAGAGGAAGUCUAGAGCCUUUUCCUCGUCUCUCUAUAGUUGAACUCCACCCUUUUUGAGCUCCACAUAAAUGUUCCAAUCAGUCUGGAGUUGUCUAAAGCCCCCGAACACUCGGUGGUAGACAAUGAAAGACUUAUUUUUUCAAUGUUUCAAGGAAGAGAGGAUAUGGUCAAAGAGAGUCUGACUUUUUUUCGCUGAAGAACCAAAACUCCUUAUUCCUCCGGAUUCCUAGCUAGUAUAGCUGGGAGAAGAGAGCAACUCUCAGAUUGUUAUUAUUAUUGAAGCACACAAAUCGAAAGGCCACGGGAAUCCUCCAACUGUUUGAAUGAAGUUGGGCGACUACAGUUUAUGGAUUUUGAGGAUUUCAAUGAAAAAUGGGUCAAUCGAAAAAUGAAGACCCACCUUCAACUAUUCCUCGUAUACCAUGAUGGUAUCUUGAGCAGUGAUCUGGUCAUUUACGUGAACAUUUAGAUUAGGAGCGGAAAUCAUGAAGAUCUCUUUGGAGAUCUUGUAAUGGUCAUGAAGACUAUCUACGUCCAUCUCAGUUAGCACAAAUGGGAUGUCAUUCACCUGAAGGAUAUCAUUAUCAUGGGCUGACCUCAAUGGAACUACAGGAGCCAGAGCACGAAUGGGGCCGCUGGAGGAAGAGCUGGGGGUUGAACUACAAUGAGAAAAAGAACAAGAAGACAAAGAGGACCUGUUCAUUUCUAAAGUAUGAAAAAAGACAAAAGUAGGAGUUACUUUCAGAAAAUGCAAGAGCCUAAGGCCGAGAGUACUAAUCUUUUCAGAGCAGAAGUGGUGAUCGUAGGCGAAAGGGAGAUUUUAUAUUGUUGUUUCGACAGCUGAUCUAAAUGUGGCUUGAGAAGUAAGGCAAAGCAGUAUUGAUGACUAGUACAGGCGAAAAGAAGUGGAUAUGGAGAAUCAAUUUGUGCAUGUCACAUGUCCAACACCAUGAGAACAGCUAUAAUUUUUGAAUCUGAAGAGUCGAAGUCUGAUGGGAGGACUUCUGAUAUGACACAAUAUUCCCCCAAAAUAUGCCAUUAGCUGUCACCAUACGACAGAGUCACGUGGCAAGACCUUAAUAAACCAUGACAUUCGCACGGAAGUCUCACCCACGAGAGAGGAGAACUUGUCAUUGUAAAGGUCAAUGCUCAAAACGACUGAAGACUAGUCCUCUUAUUACUGGUCGAGCAUUUCUUGUCACCUAAGUUAUCGUUAAAAGAGAUUAUACAACAUAUCCCCAUUACGUCUACAAAUGUGAGGUUUUUUAUCCACUAGCCGAUACUAGUCGGAUUUCUAGAAAAAUCACCAACUAACUCCAUCUUUUUUAGUAUAAAAGAAGUAUACACAGAGUUCAAGAUACGCAUUCUUAUAUACUUUUCUUAAGUUCAAACAACUUAUUUACACUCGCUCUUUCUGAUAAUUACUGACUUAAACGUCAAAGUGGUUGCCCAUAUACAUCAACUACCUCACAUUUUUUCUUUUGCAGAGUAAUCAAUUCAGCUCCUUUUCUACCACAUCAAAAAAUAAAAUCAAUUUUAAAAAAAAUAAACACAGCAAAAUAAUUUUUAAUAUUUAAAAUUUGCAUAAAAUAGAUCACUAUUAAAAAAAUUAAAAAUGUAAUUAUUUAAAUUUGGUUAAUCUUAUCUUUGUCUCUAACUUUGAAUAUAUACUCAAAUUUAUAUUUACUUUUAAAACAUGUUUAAUAUCUAAAAUAUACUAGUUCAUUGAUUGAUGAAUAGUAACAAGCCAAACAACAAGAUUAAUUAAGGCUCAAAGAAAAUAAAGACAAUUUUCUAAAGGAAUUCUAGCAUCCAAGCCCAAAAACUUGACUUAGUAACAGAUCCAAAAAUAAUAUAUGGAGCGCUACUUAUGUUUUAAAACCACUGGCAGUCGAAGGAGAAGGAGACCAUUUAAAGAGAAAGAGAAUUUCAGAACAUAGUCAGGAAGAUAAACUUGUAAAAACACCGACUAGAGACCCAUAAAGAACCUCCAACCACCAAAAGCUUCAAAUACUAUAAGGAACAAGAAUAAGAACUAGAUCUAACCAUUACUGAGGUCACACCAUCAAAGAGAAACGAGGGUUCAACAUCAGAAUCGAGACAAGGCUGCAUCCAGAGUCAAGGAAGGCAACAUGCAAUCCAAAAAUAGCAAGAGAAGUAACCAAAACAGUGAACUAACUAAGCAAAUCUAACCUUAGUGGGAAAGGAGCCGACAAAAAGAAAUGAAGAGUCCUUUCUUAAGAUUAGAGCGACUACUUCACUUAGGAUAAUGGGGAGCGAUAUGUAAUCCAAAUAAAAAAGUAGGGCUACCGCCUUGCUCCACCCCUGAAAGAAAAAAAUUAUAAGAGCACCAUAAUUGAGCAACUCCAACAUGAAAAAGGCAACAAAAAAAAAAAACAAAAAAGAAAAACAAAAACAAAAAUUGACAACCCAACAGAAACUCUCAACUAAGUCUCAUUGCCAACAACAUCAAAACAAGAAAGUAUUUACACUCCACUCAAUAAUGGGAGAAAAAACCCAAAUCGGGAAGAGGGAGGCUCCUAGACCGGAAGGGUAAAAAAGCUUUUAAAAGGCAUAAGCACUAAUAAACCCGAAAAAAGGACUAAAUUAAAGAGAGAAAAAAAAAACUCUCUGGCUAAUGGAGAAAUGAAGCUUUUUGAAAACAUGUUAAACUUUAAUUUAAGUGUUAUUAAAAUCUAUAUUACCUACUAUAUUGACAUAAAUUUUCUUUUAUUAUUUAUAUUUUAAUUAUUUAAAAAAUAAUUUUCAUUUUUUAAGUAAUAUUAAAUUUUUGUAAUUACUUUUUGUAAUCAUUUUGGCUCUACAUUUCAAAAAAAAAAUUAAAAAAAUAUAUAUUUUUUAUUUUUUUAGUGUUUAGAAAUCUCAAAAAAUUUAAUUAAUGAAAAUUUUUUUUAAUUAAAUAAAAAAAUAAUUUAUUCUUUUAAAAAAAAUCAUUUUUUACAUGUUGAGACUCUUAUAAAGCUUUAUAUAUAAAUUUAUUAAUAAAUUUUAUUUUUUAAAUUAAAAUUAAAUAAUAAAAAAUAAGUUAUUUCAUUAAAAAAAUAUUUUUUUAAAUAUAAAUUAUUUUCAUAAAUAAAAUAACUAAACGUAUGAUUUUAUAAAAUUUAAAAAUAUUUUAAUUAAGUUAUUUUGAAUUAUAAAUGAGAUAAUGAAUUUUUAAAAUAUAAGGUUAUGAUAGUAAUUUUUAUUUAUAUUAUUAAAAAAUUGGCUAAAACCUACCGUGCACGUGUAAUCACAUGGACCCUACCCAUCUAAAGCAUACGGAUAUAAUUUAUCUAUUCUUUUUUUGUUUUAUUUUGUUCCUUUCAAUGAAGCAAUUUGCCGACAUCAUCAUCGAGCGAAGGUUAUUUUCUAUAGUUACUUAGUUUUAUAUAAAUAAAUUUAUUUAAUUUAGAAUAAAUUUACUUAAAUAAAAAAUAAAUGUGAUUUAAUAUAAUCUAGAAUUGAUCUCUUGAUUUUGUAAUAUGAUAAUUUAUAAAUUAAAUAAAUUACAAAAAUAUUUUCAAUUUAAAAGAGAAAAGUAAAGUUUUAUUUUGGAAAAAAUUGUGAUAUUUUUUUAAAAAAAAAUCAAAUUGAUAAGCACGGCCAUGGCCGGACAAAGGUCGAGUGUUUGGAUAUUUGAUGCAAUUAGGGGUUUUCAUAGAAACGUGGCUUCUUUUGGUUUAGCUUUCAUGGCCCAAUCAGGCACAGCCACUCGUCAUUCAAAUGUUUAAUGCAAAGUGUAGUGCCCUGCCCUCCACACUACACUUUAUAUUUUUUAUUUAAUUAAUUAUUUAUGCAAACAAAUUUAGACUUAUCGAGCGCAUAAAUCGGUUUGAAUUGAAAAACUGAAUCGAGCCGAUUAAUUUUGGUUUAAUGGUUCGGUUAAUUAAAAGGUUCGGUUCAGUUCGGUUAGUAUUUUUCAAUUUAUUCGAUUUUCAGUUCGAUUCGAUUUAAACGUGUUAAAUAAUUGAAAAACUGAAAAACCGAUUUUAUAUAUAGAAAUACUAAUUUUAUAUAUUUUUAAAUUUUAUAUGAAUUUUUAUGGAUUUUUUAAAUAUUAUUAUUAUGUAUUCAAACAAUAUGUAUUGAUAAAUUUAUGUGAAAUAUUUAUUAAAUUAUUCUACUGAAAUUAAAAGUAAAAAAUUAAAAAAAUUACAGAUUUUUAUUUAAAUCAAAUCGAUUUUUAUCAGUUCGAUUCGGUUUGAUUAUAUUUUUAUAAUCAAUUUUUUUAAUUUUUAAUAUUUUUAUACUUCAGUGUUCGGUUUUUUCGAUUUGAUUUAAUUCGAAAUCAAACCGACCGAUUGCAGAGCCCUACUCAUCACGUAAAAUCUAAAUUCAAAACUAAAUUUUUUUUUUUUAAUUUAAAUUUAUCUCAAAUAUAAGAUAUCCAAAUCCACCACAGAAGUGGAAAGUCAUAUCAUGGUUAUCGCAUUAUCUAAUACAGUUCCUAUCACUGUCUGACCUUAUGCAGUUUUGAUAAUUUUUUAAAUAAUAAUUUCUUAAUUUCUUAUAUUUUAUGUAAUCCGAUUCUACAUAAAUUUUUUUAUUUUUUAUUAUAUUAAAAUAUCUUUUUAAUAUAUAUAUAAAUAAAGUAAAUAAAAAUUAUGAGAUUUAUAAAGUAAUAAAUUUAUUAUUUAUAAUUUUAAGUGUUUAUUUUAUUUUCUAACCAAAGUUAGACAUUGUUUAAAAAUAAUUUUUAUCAAAGUGAGAUAUUUAUUUUAAAAUUUUAUAAAAUAAUAAUACCCUUUGCUAUGACAGCUGAGGAAAAGGUGAGUAUCUGGGGAGUGGAUAUACCGUUUGCCGACACCUUCAAUUCCACUGCUAUUAUGUGGACGCCACUCCACCGUCCAUAUUGAAUCGGACCCACCAGCUCAAUCAAUCCACUUCCUGUCAGUUCAAUUAAAUUAGGUUGUGUUGGGUUAUGUUUUUUUUUAAAAAAAAAAAAUUAGAUAAAAAAUUUAAAUAUUUAUUAAUUUUUAUAUUUAUAUCUUAAUUUUAAAAUUUUAAAUAAUAAAAAUAAUACUUUCAUAUUUAUCUUAAUUUUAACUAUAUACUUUAAUCAAUUUUAAUUAAAAAAUUUUUAAUUCACAUUUUUAAUUCACUCUAAAAUUAUUUUUUAAAAUAUCUAUUAAAUAAAAAAAACAAAACAUUUACAUUAAUUCAUAUUUAUAUUUAAAUUAUUAUCUAAAAUUUUUUUUAUCACCUCUUAAUUAUAAUAAAGAGAAAUAAAUUAAAUAUAAAAAUUAUUAAAAAAUUACAAUAUAAUUUUUAAAAUUUUAUUUAAAUAAUAAAAUAAUCUUUAAAAUACAUAUUUUUACUUUAACAAUAUUCUUUUUUUAUUAAUCUCAUUAUUUAUUUUUCAUUAUCAUUUAUAUAUAUAUAUAUAUAAAUAUAAAUGAUAAUGAAAAAUAAAANNNNNNNNNNNNNNNNNNNNNNNNNNNNNNNNNNNNNNNNNNNNNNNNNNNNNNNNNNNNNNNNNNNNNNNNNNNNNNNNNNNNNNNNNNNNNNNNNNNNNNNNNNNNNNNNNNNNNNNNNNNNNNNNNNNNNNNNNNNNNNNNNNNNNNNNNNNNNNNNNNNNNNNNNNNNNNNNNNNNNNNNNNNNNNNNAUAUGUAAUAUUUAUAUACUAUACUUCAUAUGGUGAAAAUUUAUUUAUAAUAAAUAUUUAUUUAAUAUUAUAUAUAAUAAAUACAAAGUAAAUUUACUUUUAAUAUAAAAUUUAAAUUAAAAAAUUAUAUGUUUAUUAAUAUAACAAGAGAUUAUAUUAUAAUUUAUUAUUAAUUUUUUUUAAAUUUAAUUUAAUCUUUAAAUUAUAAUUAUGAUCGAUCGACAAAGAUUUAAUUUUAUUAUAUAAAUAUUUAAAAUUUUAGAUAUAAAUAUAAAUUAAUGGUUUGAAUUUUUUUAUUCAAUAAAUCUUUUAAAAAAUAAUUUUAUAUACUAUAAUUUUUUUAUUAAAAUUAGUUGAGACAAACGCCUAAAAUUAAGAAAUAUAAAAAAAUUAAUUUUAUUAUCUAAAAUUUUAUUGCUGGAAAAAAUUUGUUUUCUAAUAAUUAUUAAAUUUAUAUAGUAUUAAAUAAUUUAUUAUUUAAAAUUUUAAUUUUAAAAAUAUUUAAAAUAUUAUUACAAUUUUUAAAAAUUUAUUAAUUAAUCUUUUUUUAUUUUAACUAUUUGAAAAAAAAUUUUAAAAUACUCUUAAUUAGAAAGAUUAAUAAAUUUAUAUUUUUAUAAAUUCAAAAAAUUAAUUAAUUAAUUAUUUUAUGUUAUAAAUAUUAAAUAAUAAAAUAUUUAAAAUUAAUGAAUAAUUGAUUAAUGGAUUUUUUAAUACUUCAUUGGCGUUUUUAAUGUGCUUUCAAAAUUAAAUAAUUAACUAAUAAAUUUUUUUAUAUUACAAAAAUUAAAUAAUAAAUUAUUUUUUAUUUUUUAUCUUUUAUUUAAUAAAAUAAAAAUGUAUAGUUUGUUAAUAUUCUUACUUAUUAGAAAAUGAUUUUUAAGUAAAAGAACUCAAAACUGAAAAUUGUAAAUAUUUAUUAAAAUAUUUUUUAAAAUAUUAAAAAUAUAUCAACCAAUUAUUUUAUUAAUUUUAAUUGUUGAAUAUUUUGCUAUUGAGUACAUAUUAUAAAGAAAAACUCAAUAAUUAUUUUUUAAUUUUUUAAAAAUAUUUACUAAUUAAACUUUUGUAUAAUAUUAUUUUAAAAUUUUUUUAUAAUAUUUAAGCGUUAAAAUAUUUUAAUAUAUUUUUUAAAAUCAAUAUAUUAAUUAAUGAAUUUGCAUUUAAUUUAAAUAAAUAAUAAAAAUAAAAAUUGCUUUUAAUUUAAAAAAAAUAAAAAUCCUAUAGUGUUAUAAAAAUAUCAUUAGUUAAUUAAUUUUUUUAUCAAUAAAUAUUUAGAGAGGGAGAUGAAAAUCAAAUUCUCAUUACCAGUAAGUUUUCAGAUAUACUUUAUUAACCUAUUUAAUAAUAUAACAAAUAUUUAUUAUCAAUAAAAUAUUUUCAUUUGAUUUGUUCUACUUAAUGUCCUAAACAAUAAAAAAUAUGCAAAAUAUUUUUUUUAAAAAUGUUUACAUAAAUAAUAAUUUAUUUUCUAUAAUGCAAUUUAAAGAAUAAAAAAUAUUAUAAAGUUAUAUAGUAAUUUAUAAAAAAAAUUGUCAAAAAACAGAAACUGAAUUAUUUUUUAAGAAACAAUAUUAUUUUUUCAAAAAAAUUAAUAUCUCAUUUGUUAAUAAUAUAUUUUUUAUUAAUUAUUUUUUUUAGUGUAUCAAAUAUUAAAAAUAUAAAAAUAAAUUUAUAAAUAAAAUCAAUGGAUACUAAAAUCCACUUUUAUUUAUUUUUUAAAAGAAAUAAUUAAUUAUCUUCCCACAUUUUCGGUUAGAAACUGAAAACUUCUUCAGAAGUGGAUAAUGAUCCGUCAACUCCACAAGUCCUAAGACCUGGGCCAAAUCGCCCAUGUCGUUUUGUCCUUUUAUUUGAUCUUUCUUUUUUCUUUCUUUUUUCAGCCAAAAAAAAAAUAUUUCGAGAAUAAAUUGUUAAGAUUUUUUUCCCGAAGAAAUUGAAAAAUAAAAAAUAAAGGUAAGAGAUUUUUUUUUUUUCCCUUUUAAAAUUUGAUAGAAAAUUCAACCAUAAGUAGAAAAUUGAAAUAGAUAUGCUUUGGGAAGAACCAGGCUUCCAUCGCUUAUAAAUAGCCUCCACACCUGCAAUGUCUCUCUCUCACAACACACCAUACCACAACCCAAAUCCUUCUAUUUGUCUCUUUUCUUGUGCUUAUUGCUUGAAUCACCACCAUGGCCGAAGAAAAGCACCGCCACCACCUCUUUCAUCGCAAUAAGGACGAGGAGAAACCCACUGGGGCCGCUGAUGUCUACUCUCAGACUUCUGAGUUCUCUGAGAUUACGGAUUAUCCUAGCAGCUAUAAGACUUCUGAGUUCUCUGAGACUACGGAUUAUCCUAGCAGCUAUAACUCACCACCUGAUGCUCCAGACUACGAAAAAGAAGAGAAGCAACACAAGCGUCGCGAGCAUUUGGGCGAACUCGG